This 460-nucleotide ribosomal RNA is filed under the name uncultured bacterium. RNAcentral describes it as "partial 16S ribosomal RNA". It matches the Rfam family "Bacterial small subunit ribosomal RNA", at positions 338 to 795 of the family's 1533-position model. The record is from RNAcentral.
CCUACGGGCGGCAGCAGUGAGGAAUAUUGGUCAAUGGACGAGAGUCUGAACCAGCCAAGUAGCGUGAAGGAUGACUGCCCUAUGGGUUGUAAACUUCUUUUACAUGGGAAUAAAACGUUCCAAGUGUGCGAUGUUGUACGUACCAAAUGAGUAAGGAUAGGCUAACUCCGUGCCAGCAGCCGCGGUAAUACGGAGUAUCCGAGCGUUAUCCGGAUUUAUUGGGUGUAAAGGGAGCGUAGAUGGAUUGUUAAGUCAGUUGUGAAAGUUUGCGGCUCAACCGCAAAAUUGCAGUUGAAACUGGCAGUCUUGAGUACAGGAGAGGUGGGCGGAAUUCGUGGUGUAGCGGUGAAAUGCUUAGAUAUCACGAAGAACUCCGAUUGCGAAGGCAGUUCACUGGACUGCAACUGACACUGAGGCUCGAAAGUGUGGGUAUCAAACAGGAUUAGAUACCCCAGUAGUC